UUCCACCCCCGUGACCCCCUGGCGUCCUCUCCACCACCGCAGCCCAACUGCUACGCCAAGGUGAUCACCAUCGAGGCGCAGAAGAAGAUCGUCAUCUACUCGAAGCAGCCCAUCGGGGUCAACGAGGAGAUCACCUACGACUACAAGUUCCCCAUCGAGGACACCAAAAUCCCCUGCCUGUGCCGCACCGAGAGCUGCCGCGGCACGCUCAACUAGGCCACCGCGUGGUGGGCCCGGUGGUGGGCCUGGUGGUGGGCCUGGUGGUGGGCCUUCUGGUGGGCCUGGUGGUGGGCCUUCUGGUGGGCGAGGAGGCAGCGGCGUUGGGGAGAAGUCAACGUGGUUGGCAAGAGGUCAACGUGGUUGGCAAGAGGUCGUCGUGGUCAUCACCAUGGUCAUCACCAUGGUUGGCAAGAGGUCAUCGUUGUUGGUGUUGGGUCAUCGGUGUUGGCAAGAGGUCAUCGUGGUCAUCACCAUGGUUGGCAAGAGGUCAACGAUGUUGGUGAGAAGUCAACGUGGUUGGCAAGAGGUCAUCACCAUGGUUGGCAAGAGGUCAACGCAGUUGGCAAGAGGUCAUCGUGGUUGGUGUUGGGUCAUCGUGGUUGGUGUGAGGUCAUCGUGGUGA
RNAcentral lists this long non-coding RNA (622 nucleotides) under Anas platyrhynchos platyrhynchos (common mallard). Its description in RNAcentral is "lncRNA (ENSAPLG00000025675.1)". Lineage: Eukaryota; Metazoa; Chordata; Aves; Anseriformes; Anatidae. The record is from RNAcentral.